GGGAACUGAAAAAUUAUAAAACAAUGUAUAUGUAGAAUUGGGGGUAGAAACCGAAAAGGAAAUUAAAAGACAACAAUCAGAGCAGGAAAGUAGUGAGAAGCUAGGGUACAGAAAAGGAAGAAGAGAAGAAACCCUGUAAAAAACAGAGGACUAGCCACAAAAUCUUGAGGUUGAAGUAGGGGAAGAAGUUACAGCCGACUACAAAGGUAUCAUUAUAAUGACGGAGGAGGUAAGGGUUGCAUUAAGAGAAAUCAAGAGUGGAAAAGCAGCCGGAUGUGUCUUCCUGUUUUAUAGCAUUUGAUUAAGUAUGUCAGGCUAUAUCUCGAGUAGAGGGUCUCUACAAGUGUAGAUCAGAAUGGUGUGAAAUUAGAAGAGUGGUGCAAGUCUGUUGUUUGUCGCCUACCUUUUUUAACAUUUACCUGUAUGAAAUG
Long non-coding RNA from Photinus pyralis (common eastern firefly), 431 nucleotides. RefSeq lists it as uncharacterized. The transcript is spliced from 3 exons. The record is from RefSeq and is a predicted model, not a curated record. Lineage: Eukaryota; Metazoa; Arthropoda; Insecta; Coleoptera; Lampyridae.